GAUGAAGAACGUAGCGAAAUGCGAUAACUAAUGUGAAUUGCAGAAUUCCGUGAAUCAUCGAGUCUUUGAACGCACAUUGCGCCCCCUGGUAUUCCGGGGGGCAUGCCUGUCCGAGCGUCAUUGCUGCCCAUCAAGCACGGCUUGUGUGUUGGGUCCUCGUCCCCCCCGGGGGACGUGCCCGAAAGGCAGCGGCGGCACCGCGUCCGGUCCUCGAGCGUAUGGGGCUUUGUCACCCGCUCUGCAGGCCCGGUCGGCGCUGGCCGACGCGAAAGCAACCAUUUUUUCUCCAGGUUGACCUCGGAUCAGGUAGGGAUACCCGCUGAACUUAAGCAUAUCAAUAAGCGGAGGA
Molecule: unclassified non-coding RNA, 349 nt
Filed under: soil metagenome
Description: partial contains 5.8S ribosomal RNA, internal transcribed spacer 2, and large subunit ribosomal RNA
Rfam family: 5.8S ribosomal RNA (bases 1-120)
Source: RNAcentral